GUCCCCUUAGCUCAGCAGGAUAGAGCGUUUGCCUCCGGAGCAAAAGGCCGCGCGUUCGAAUCGCGCAGGGGACGCCA
Molecule: transfer RNA, 77 nt
Filed under: Eggerthellaceae bacterium
Lineage: Bacteria; Bacillati; Actinomycetota; Coriobacteriia; Eggerthellales; Eggerthellaceae
Description: tRNA-Arg
Rfam family: tRNA
About the family: Transfer RNA (tRNA) molecules are approximately 80 nucleotides in length. Their secondary structure includes four short double-helical elements and three loops (D, anti-codon, and T loops). Further hydrogen bonds mediate the characteristic L-shaped molecular structure. tRNAs have two regions of fundamental functional importance: the anti-codon, which is responsible for specific mRNA codon recognition, and the 3' end, to which the tRNAs corresponding amino acid is attached (by aminoacyl-tRNA synthetases). tRNAs cope with the degeneracy of the genetic code in two manners: having more than one tRNA (with a specific anti-codon) for a particular amino acid; and 'wobble' base-pairing, i.e. permitting non-standard base-pairing at the 3rd anti-codon position.
Source: RNAcentral